Molecule: long non-coding RNA, 680 nt
Filed under: Mytilus galloprovincialis (Mediterranean mussel)
Lineage: Eukaryota; Metazoa; Mollusca; Bivalvia; Mytilida; Mytilidae
Source: RNAcentral
CCUGUCUGAGACUUGAAUACCAUAUAAUAUCCUGUUUGCUUGGUUCGGUAUUUCUACUUCGCACCAUCAAGUUAUUUAAUAUUGUGAAAUGGUUAUUUGUUGUUUUCCUGGCGUUUAUUUUCGAUUAUGGGCUUUGUCUAUAUAGUGUUUAUUUGCCAUAUCACAAACGUCUUAUUUAACCAUUUUCAAAAAAUCAAUCAUGAAAAUUUAAAGCCAUCUAAAUUUGAAGCUUUAUUGGAAAAAAGAAUGUUUAAAAUUGUUCAAUCAAAAUCUAAGAAAAUCUCUGUCCGUCAUACCUAUUUUUGCCAAUGUAGUUUCACAGACGAUUCAAAACGUAAAUAUUACUUUUACUGUUGGAUUUUUUUAUGAGAUAUCCAUUUAACGUGGCUCGGUACUUAAACAUGCCGUCAAUGUGUGUUUUAUUAUUCAUUUUUUACUGGUGUGUUUUGUAUAUGCGAUUUUUUGUGUUUCUUUGGUUCUUAUAACGUGACUCUGUACUUUAAAAUAUCCCGUCAGUAUUAUCAGUUAUUGUUCUAUAAUAUGUCACUAUGAUAUAUUUCUAAUAUGAAUUAGAAAAAAAACGUUGAACCACAAACGUCAAAAUUAUUCAACCACGUAGUGGAAUGAACUAUUUGUGGAUUUUUAUAAAUUCCAUAGAACUUUUGACUAUUUUAAAUCUC